Cryomyces minteri is the source of this 87-nucleotide non-coding RNA. Lineage: Eukaryota; Fungi; Ascomycota; Dothideomycetes. The record is from the annotation of a GenBank genome assembly.
GGCCUGAUGGUCUAGUCGUAUGAUUCUCGCUUUGGGUCAAAGAACACAACAUGCGAGAGGUCCGGGGUUCAAUUCCCCGUCAGGCCC